This 491-nucleotide ribosomal RNA is filed under the name uncultured bacterium. RNAcentral describes it as "partial 16S ribosomal RNA". It matches the Rfam family "Bacterial small subunit ribosomal RNA", at positions 29 to 506 of the family's 1533-position model. The record is from RNAcentral.
AGUGAACGCUGGCGGUAGGCCUAACACAUGCAAGUCGAACGGCAGCACAGUAAGAGCUUGCUCUUACGGGUGGCGAGUGGCGGACGGGUGAGGAAUACAUCGGAAUCUACUUUUUCGUGGGGGAUAACGUAGGGAAACUUACGCUAAUACCGCAUACGACCUACGGGUGAAAGCAGGGGAUCUUCGGACCUUGCGCGAUUGAAUGAGCCGAUGUCGGAUUAGCUAGUUGGCGGGGUAAAGGCCCACCAAGGCGACGAUCCGUAGCUGGUCUGAGAGGAUGAACCGCACCCCGGGAAAUGAGACACGGCCCAGACCCCUAGGGGAGGCAGAGGUGGGGAAUAUUGGAAAAGGGGCGCAAGCCUGAUCCAGCCAUACCGGGUGGGGGAAGAAGGCCUUCGGGUUGUAAAGCCCUUUUGUUGGGAAAAAAAAGCAGCAGGUUAAUACCCCGCUGUUCUGGCGGUACCCAAAGAAAAAGCACCGGCUAACUUCGU